This 433-nucleotide ribosomal RNA is filed under the name uncultured bacterium. RNAcentral's name for it is "partial 16S ribosomal RNA". It matches the Rfam family "Bacterial small subunit ribosomal RNA", at positions 29 to 507 of the family's 1533-position model. The record is from RNAcentral.
AACGAACGCUGGCGGCAUGCCUAACACAUGCAAGUCGAACGAGACCUUCGGGUCUAGUGGCGCACGGGUGCGUAACGCGUGGGAACCUGCCCUUAGGUUCGGAAUAACUCCCCGAAAGGGGUGCUAGUACCGGAUAAUGUCUUCGGACCAAAGAUUUAUCGCCUUUGGAUGGGCCCGCGUUGGAUUAGCUAGUUGGUAGGGUAAAAGCCUACCAAGGCGACGAUCCAUAGCUGGGCUGAGAGGAUGAUCAGCCACACUGGGACUGAGACACGGCCCAGACUCCUACGGGAGGCAGCAGUGGGGAAUAUUGGACAAUGGGCGAAAGCCUGAUCCAGCAAUGCCGCGUGAGUGAUGAAGGCCUUAGGGUUGUAAAGCUCUUUUAACCGGGAUGAUAAUGACAGUACCGGGAGAAUAAGCUCCGGCUAACUCCGUG